This 331-nucleotide ribosomal RNA is filed under the name uncultured bacterium. RNAcentral's name for it is "bacterial SSU rRNA". It matches the Rfam family "Bacterial small subunit ribosomal RNA", at positions 568 to 898 of the family's 1533-position model. The record is from RNAcentral.
UGUGUAGGCGGUUGUUUAAGUUUGGUGUGAAAUCUCCCGGCUCAACUGGGAGGGUGCGCCGAAUACUGAAUGACUUCGAGUGCGGGAGAGGAAAGUGGAAUUCCUGGUGUAGCGGUGAAAUGCGUAGAUAUCAGGAGGAACACCGGUGGUGUAGACGGCUUUCUGGACCGCAACUGACGCUGAGACACGAAAGCGUGGGUAGCAAACAGGAUUAGAUACCCUGGUAGUCCACGCCCUAAACGAUGCAUAUUUGGUGUGGGCAGUUCAUUCUGUCUGUGCCGGAGCUAACGCGUUAAAUAUGCCGCCUGGGGAGUACAGUCGCAAGGCUGAA